GGUGUACCCUUUCUGGUGGGACUGCCAAACCCUUAGGACGUCAUCCUCGAACUGGGAUCGGGUAGGGAACAACCUAAGGGAGGGGAUGGCGAACCUGCCUGAGAGUGAAGACACAGAGGACAGCGCAGGCAAGGAGCAGGUUCCUGAUAUGAUCGUCUGAGGCCCUGGGUGCUGGUGCUGGAAGGCAGCCCCACCCUGGCAUUUUCAGAUACUAGAACCAGCGACCCCCUUUCAUACUGAAUCCUGUUUGACUGGGUGUUUAUCACUUGACUGACAUCCUCUAAGAAUUGUGCAGUGGGCCGUGUGCAGCCAGCCACCUCCUUCUGGAAAGACAAACUCUCAACUCUUUCAGAAAACAGGCUGUGUCUGUGCCUCUCUCUCCUUCCUAGAACGUGAGGACGUCCCUCCUGACUCUCCAUACCUGGGGCUGACCUGCACGCCCUCCGAGCCACAUUACCCGCGCAGCCUUGCCUGGCGAUCGCGCUGAGCAGCACCUACCCGGUCACUGAAGGGAGGCUGGCCUGGCAAUGGGCCGCAAGAUUCAAGUUGGAGAAUGUCCCUCGUUUCCAUCCUGUUUCUGUGACUUGUAUGUGACAGUAUUUAGGGAAGGUGAAAGGCAUACCUUUUUGGCUCCUGUCCUGAUAAGGUGGGCAACCAAUCGCCACAGUCAGGGUUGGGGAGGGGAACGGGGAGGUGGUGGAGCCCUGCACCUUCAUCCCAUCACCUGUGCUGGAGUUCCUGCCAUUGGAGGCUUCCUGAGAAUUUCCAGCCACCAGAAGGGGGCAGACGGUGACUUCUGAAGCUGGGACACAAUGGAUCUGUGAGGAGGCAGGCAAGAUGGGGUGGAGGCGCCAGGCUGAAACCACCACCUCCACCACCUCCACCACCUCGGGACAAGCUGGGCCCCCAUCAGCUGGGCUUGGCUCUCCGGAAGCUUCAGGUGUGGGCUAGCUCAGAGGAUCCCAGGCCCACUGCUUGUCUAGUCAGGUCACUGGAUUGGGGAGGGCUUGACAGGCUAGGGGGCUGGCAGUCUUGACAGGCUAGGGGGCUGGCAGUCUGCCUUAGGAGCAGGGGCUGGGGCUGGUCUUGAAGCUGAAGAACAGGCACAUUGUCUUUACCUGGACCGUACAUUUAGCUAGGGUGUUGGAGGGGGCUGGUGGAGAUUUGAGGUGGGUUUAAGUUUUCUGAAGCCAGCCAGGUGCAGUGGCUCACACCUGUAAUCCCAGCACUUUGGGAGGCUGAGGUGGAAGGAUCGCUUGAGCCCAGGAAUUUGAGACCAGCCUGGGCAAUACAGGGAGACCCUGUCUCUACAACAACAAAAACGUUGCCCUAAGCCACCCCUUGGCUUGGUCACUGCUCAGGGAAGCCCUUCCAGCCUCAGAAACCCCCAGAGCCGCCGAAUCGUCCUGCAUGGAAGACAGACACAGAUGCAAGUGUCUAAAUGCCUUUGUGCAUCCUGGUUCCAGGUGGGAGGCGCUGGGAGAUGGGGGCCUCUCACUUAGAAACUGCCUCCCUCCCAAACCUGGACACACGGCCCACUGCUCCACACUACCACCACCAGUGUUGGCGGUCACAGGACGCCGAUGGCCCGUGGUAUGUCUGGAGCUUCCUCGUGGACAGGCCUUUCAGCAGUGUGUCCUGCUGGGCCCGGUGCCUGUUGAAAUUGAGUCCUUUGUGGAUUUCCUAAGCCACAAAGCAACCCCAGCCCUGGGAUAUCUCAAAGAGAAUUUUUAAAUGACAUGAGCUGGACAUGCAACCACAAGGUGUCUGCCCAGAUUAAGGCGAGCUCCAGCAUGGGCCUUUGAAGGGCACUCGAUUUCCCAGGGUGAAGAUGGAUUUCCACAACGGAAUUCAGAAAAGCCUCCCCAGCCCACACUCAUCCACUGGGACAGGAAUCACUAUCCCUGGGGCCUGCGAGGGAGGUUCCAGGACAGCAGGUAUUUUUCACAUCCUACCAUACACUGCUGUCCAGGCAGUGGUACCAGCACCAGAGUCCCCGGACCUGUGUCUGCCCUGAGUGUCCUACCUCCACGCUGUCCCUUCUCAGCACAAGACCCACCGUGUGUCUAGCCCCCAACUCCACUGGUUACAUGUCCAUGGCUCCUGCAGCCUCAGAGC
RNAcentral lists this long non-coding RNA (2118 nucleotides) under Pongo abelii (Sumatran orangutan). Its description in RNAcentral is "lincRNA". Lineage: Eukaryota; Metazoa; Chordata; Mammalia; Primates; Hominidae. The record is from RNAcentral.